UGUAUUUUUUUUUUAUUUUUUUUAUUUUUAUUUUUUUUUUUUUUUUUUUUUUUUUUUUUUUUUUUUUUUUUUUUUAUGUAUGUUACAUCAGAACUUUUGACUGGGUGGAGCGAUUCCGACAAAUUUUCUUUUAAUCGAAAGGUGUUGUGUGCCAAUUGGUCCCAUUUAAAUUUAUUUGAGAUCUAACAACUACUUUUCGAGUUAUAUCUAAUAAUGCGUUUUUACUUGACGCUUUUUUCGUCGACUUACGUUGUAUUAUACCGCAUAACUUUCUACUGGAUGUACCGAUUUUGAUAAUUAUUUUUUUGUUGGAAAGGGGAUAUCCCUCGUUUAGUACCGUGAUAAGGAAA
RNAcentral lists this unclassified non-coding RNA (350 nucleotides) under Melitaea cinxia (Glanville fritillary). RNAcentral's name for it is "misc RNA ENSMCXG00005000202.1". Lineage: Eukaryota; Metazoa; Arthropoda; Insecta; Lepidoptera; Nymphalidae. The record is from RNAcentral.